Molecule: long non-coding RNA, 1030 nt
Filed under: Struthio camelus australis
Lineage: Eukaryota; Metazoa; Chordata; Aves; Struthioniformes; Struthionidae
Description: lncRNA (ENSSCUG00000016073.1)
Source: RNAcentral
CCAUAGCAAAUGACCAGCAAUCAGUUGUCUGAUUUCUCCUUAUGUUUUUUCAGUGGACUCUAAGGAUCUAUAUGUGACCAACAUGCUAUAUGAAAUGGAGCAAACUGAGAUACAAUUCACUACAGAGGAAGUGACUGAAUUAGUACAGAAGCUCUGCUUAGCUCAUAGUGUGAGACUGGAGACUGCAGACCUUUUCAUGACUCUUGUGUUUGAGCUUCGACAUCUUUCUCUUAAGGCCUUAAAAGUGCUAUGGCAAAGAUCUUCACUUAAAUGCAGAGAUAACUGGCAGCCCCUAAUAGAUGCUCUCCCCUCGUGUGCUACGGAAGCAUGUGUUCUCCUAAUGAAAGAAAUUAUAGCCUCUGGAGAAGCUGAGGAAGACAAAGUGGAGUCUUUCCUUUGGUCGUUUUCAUUCAUGCCUAAGCCCACCUCUGGCAUGAUCGAAUCUCUUGCUCCUUUGCUGCAGUCACCGGGAGCAAGCAAGAGCUCCUUCUUGGGAGUGACUGCUCUUGUACACAGGUUUUGUUCAGCUCACAAAUCCUGUGAUGAUGUGCCUGCUGUGCAGAGUGUCAUGAGGACUCUUGGUGAAUUUCUGGGAGGAAACUGCACUGUGCGAGACCCAGAAGGACUCAACCAGGUAUCAGCUGUAGAUCCAUUUUAAGUAGAGAACUUGGAAAGAAUUUGGCAGAAUGUCUGAAUACAGUAAAAUUUCAUGUACAGCUGACAAGGUGUGGUUAACUUGUGAUUCUGCCUUGCUUUGUAUUUACAGAUGCAGCUAGUGUUAAAAGCCAUUGGAAACGCGGGACUGGCAGCAGCUUCACUAGCUCCUGUUCUGAGUUUUUGUGCUUCCUUGAAAAGUAAUCCUAUUGAAAUUCGUCUAGCUGCUAUACAGGCCUUCAGGCGCAUUCCCUGUUCUGUCAGGGUAAGUGAUUUGUUGCCAGCAAGUGCCUGAUGGCUUCCUGCUGCUGUCCCAGAGUUUGGACUCUCUGGAGUAGUUAUGAAACAUGCAAACAAAUAAGAAUUAAGUGUAACU